This 877-nucleotide ribosomal RNA is filed under the name uncultured Bacillota bacterium. RNAcentral describes it as "bacterial SSU rRNA". It matches the Rfam family "Bacterial small subunit ribosomal RNA", at positions 58 to 910 of the family's 1533-position model. The record is from RNAcentral. Lineage: Bacteria; Bacillati; Bacillota.
CAAGUCGAACGCGAAAGUUCCCUUCGGGGAACAAGUAGAGUGGCGCACGGGUGAGUAACACGUAGGUAAUCUACCUUUGGAUUGGGAAUAACACCGAGAAAUCGGUGCUAAUACCGAAUAAUGCAGCGGCACCUAAUGGUGACAGUUGUUAAAGCGGGGGAUCGCAAGACCUCGCGUCUAAAGAGGAGCCUGCGGCGGAUUAGCUAGUUGGUAAGGUAACGGCUUACCAAGGCGAUGAUCCGUAGCCGGCCUGAGAGGGCGGUCGGCCACACUGACACUGACAUACGGGUCAGACUCCUACGGGAGGCAGCAGUCGGGAAUUUUGGGCAAUGGGCGAAAGCCUGACCCAGCAACGCCGCGUGAAGGAUGAAAUCCCUCGGGAUGUAAACUUCGCAAGAACGGGAAGAAUAAGUCGGUGCUAACACCAUCGGCGAUGACGGUACUGUUUGUAAGCUCCGGCUAACUCCGUGCCAGCAGCCGCGGUAAUACGGGGGGAGCAAGCGUUGUUCGGAUUUACUGGGCGUAAAGGGCGCGUAGGCGGCCACCGCAAGUCGACUGUGAAAUCUCCGGGCUUAACUCGGAAAGGUCAGCCGAUACUGCGGGGCUAGAGUGCAGAAGGGGCAACUGGAAUUCUCGGUGUAGCGGUGAAAUGCGUAGAUAUCGAGAGGAACACCUGCGGCGAANGCGGGUUGCUGGGCUGACACUGACGCUGAUUGUGCGGAAGCUAGGGGAGCGAACGGNAUUAGAUACCCCGGUAGUCCUAGCCUUAAACGAUGAAUGCUUGGUGUCUGGGGUUUUAUAGUCCCCGGGUGCCGUCGCUAACGCUUUAAGCAUUCCGCCUGGGGAGUACGGUCGCAAGACUGAAACUCAAAGGAAU